CAGGAUGUAGCUCAGUGGUAGAGUGCUUGCCCAGUAUACAUGAGGCCCUGAGUUCCAUCCCCAGCACUGUGA
Molecule: transfer RNA, 72 nt
Filed under: Marmota marmota marmota (Alpine marmot)
Lineage: Eukaryota; Metazoa; Chordata; Mammalia; Rodentia; Sciuridae
Also listed under: 1 other name
Rfam family: tRNA
About the family: Transfer RNA (tRNA) molecules are approximately 80 nucleotides in length. Their secondary structure includes four short double-helical elements and three loops (D, anti-codon, and T loops).
Source: Rfam by way of RNAcentral